Molecule: long non-coding RNA, 153 nt
Filed under: Bos mutus (wild yak)
Lineage: Eukaryota; Metazoa; Chordata; Mammalia; Artiodactyla; Bovidae
Description: lncRNA (ENSBMUG00000002570.1)
Source: RNAcentral
GACUUCUCCCGCUUAUGUUUUCUUGCUCCAGGAACUAGCCGCAUGGGCUCCAUGAGUCAGCCUUGCUGCUGGCACCCAGAGGCGCAGGGGACGCUCAGACGACAGAUGGCCCCACGAAGACCCAAACCGACCGUUUUCAACUCCAAUGCCGGC